CACGUGGGUAACCUGCCUGUAAGACUGGGAUAACUCCGGGAAACCGGAGCUAAUACCGGAUAGUUCCUUGAACCGCAUGGUUCAAGGAUGAAAGACGGUUUCGGCUGUCACUUACAGAUGGACCCGCGGCGCAUUAGCUAGUUGGUGGGGUAAUGGCUCACCAAGGCGACGAUGCGUAGCCGACCUGAGAGGGUGAUCGGCCACACUGGGACUGAGACACGGCCCAGACUCCUACGGGAGGCAGCAGUAGGGAAUCUUCCGCAAUGGACGAAAGUCUGACGGAGCAACGCCGCGUGAGUGAUGAAGGUUUUCGGAUCGUAAAGCUCUGUUGUUAGGGAAGAACAAGUGCGAGAGUAACUGCUCGCACCUUGACGGUACCUAACCAGAAAGCCACGGCUAACUACGUGCCAGCAGCCGCGGUAAUACGUAGGUGGCAAGCGUUGUCCGGAAUUAUUGGGCGUAAAGGGCUCGCAGGCGGUUUCUUAAGUCUGAUGUGAAAGCCCCCGGCUCAACCGGGGAGGGUCAUUGGAAACUGGGAAACUUGAGUGCAGAAGAGGAGAGUGGAAUUCCACGUGUAGCGGUGAAAUGCGUAGAGAUGUGGAGGAACACCAGUGGCGAAGGCGACUCUCUGGUCUGUAACUGACGCUGAGGAGCGAAAGCGUGGGGAGCGAACAGGAUUAGAUACCCUGGUAGUCCACGCCGUAAACGAUGAGUGCUAAGUGUUAGGGGGUUUCCG
This 736-nucleotide ribosomal RNA is filed under the name Bacillus pumilus. RNAcentral's name for it is "bacterial SSU rRNA". It matches the Rfam family "Bacterial small subunit ribosomal RNA", at positions 114 to 836 of the family's 1533-position model. The record is from RNAcentral. Lineage: Bacteria; Bacillati; Bacillota; Bacilli; Caryophanales; Bacillaceae.